GGCGAACGGGUGAGUAAUGCAUCGGAACGUGUCCUGUAGCGGGGGACAACCCCGAGAAAUCGGGGCUAAUACCGCAUACGUCCUACGGGAGAAAGUGGGGACCGCAAGGCCUCACACUAUAGGGGCGGCCGAUGCCGGAUUAGCUAGUUGGUGGGGUAAAAGCUCACCAAGGCGACGAUCCGUAGCUGGUCUGAGAGGAUGAUCAGCCACACUGGGACUGAGACACGGCCCAGACUCCUACGGGAGGCAGCAGUGGGGAAUUUUGGACAAUGGGCGCAAGCCUGAUCCAGCCAUGCCGCGUGAGUGAAGAAGGCCUUCGGGUUGUAAAGCUCUUUCGGCCGGGACGAAAUCGCUCUCGCUAAUAUCGGGAGUGGAUGACGGUACCGGAAUAAGAAGCACCGGCUAACUACGUGCCAGCAGCCGCGGUAAUACGUAGGGUGCGAGCGUUAAUCGGAAUUACUGGGCGUAAAGCGUGCGCAGGCGGUUCCGCAAGUCAGAUGUGAAAUCCCCGGGCUUAACCUGGGAACUGCGUUUGAAACUACGGAGCUAGAGUGUGGCAGAGGGAGGUGGAAUUCC
RNAcentral lists this ribosomal RNA (576 nucleotides) under uncultured beta proteobacterium. RNAcentral describes it as "bacterial SSU rRNA". It matches the Rfam family "Bacterial small subunit ribosomal RNA", at positions 97 to 670 of the family's 1533-position model. The record is from RNAcentral. Lineage: Bacteria; Pseudomonadati; Pseudomonadota; Betaproteobacteria.